Molecule: non-coding RNA, 842 nt
Organism: Pseudonaja textilis
Lineage: Eukaryota; Metazoa; Chordata; Lepidosauria; Squamata; Elapidae
Source: RefSeq, a predicted model, not a curated record
AGUCGCCGCGGGUCAUGUUGCUCCGUCCGCCGGUGGUUCGGUUAUCCGCGAUCCGCUGAGGGGUUCGGGGGGCAGCCUCGCCGGUCGGUCGGUCGGUCGCCCGGCUGCCUUGCCAGCGCGCGCUUCACCCGCGCUUAAGCGCUCGCUUCCCGUUGGGGCUGCGGCUCCGAGUCUCCCAGCGCCAACCGCUCGAGGAGCUUCAAACUACCAUCAUGGCUGCAGCUUCCGAAGCGAGAAGGGAAGCAGGAGAGAGGAGGAGGGAGGGAGGAGAGGGAGCCCAGCACCGAAAGGAGGGGAGAGACAGACAGAUAGACAGACGGCCCAGGCGGAGGAGGAGGAGGAGGAGGAGGAGGAGGCGUCCAGCCACUCCACCCUUCCUAGCUCCUUCCGCCGCCGCUGACGAAAAAAGUAGUCCCGCACCGCCACAUCACCGCCUCUUCGGCUGCCGCGCCGGCCGAUUCGCUGCUUUUGCCGGACGUCUCCCUUCUCUCUUCUGUCCCUCCUUCUUUGCCAAACCCUGCACGGGAAGCGCCCGACUCGUUCUUCGGGGAAAAGGCCAAGGCCCGAAUUGGGAUUAAAGAGGCGCGGAGUUGAUGUAGAAUGAAGAGCGACAAAAGAAUUCAGUUCCCUUAUGCCAUAGUCCCCUGAUGACAAUCUAGUUCUAGCAUCAAAUGUUGCAAAGCCUCUUUACACGAUGUAUAAUUACUUGGGGUGCUACAGGAGGUGUCCGUCCUGUCUUCUACCCAUCCCCCCCCGCCAGCCUGUGCAAAACUACAAUGCUGAUCCGACCCUCGAAGAAAUCCAGUUUGACACCCUUUCUCUAAAAUAAAGCACAAACCUCA